RNAcentral lists this ribosomal RNA (1157 nucleotides) under uncultured bacterium. RNAcentral describes it as "bacterial SSU rRNA". It matches the Rfam family "Bacterial small subunit ribosomal RNA", at positions 104 to 1274 of the family's 1533-position model. The record is from RNAcentral.
GGGUGAGUAACGCGUAGUUCACCUGCCCUGAAGGCUCGGACAACCGCGGGAAGCUGCGGCUAAUACGGGAUACGCCCAUGGGACGUAGGGGUUCUGUGGGGAAAGGUCUUUCUUCUGUGAGGGAGGGGGGCUGCUUUGGGAGGGGGCUGCGGCCCAUCAGCUGGAUGGCGGGGUAAGGGCCUGCCAUGGCGAUGACGGGUAGGGGGCCUGAGAGGGUGGUCCUCCACACUGGGACUGAGACACGGCCCAGACUCCUGCGGGAGGCAGCAGUGAGGGAUAUUGCGCAAUGGACGGAAGUCUGACGCAGCGACGCCGCGUGGGUGAGGAAGGUUUUCGGAUUGUAAAGCCCUUUUCUGCGUGACGAGGGAGACGGUAGCGCAGGAAUAAGUGUCGGCCAACUACAUGCCAGCAGCCGCGGUAAUACGUAGGACACGAACGUUAUCCGGAGUAACUGGGCGUAAAGGGCGCGCAGGCGGCCAUUUAAGACAGCUGUGAAAGGCAGGGGCUCAACCCUUGGUGGUCAGCUGUGACUGGGUGGCUGGGGUAUGCGAGAGGGGUGUGGAAUUCCGCGCGUAGUGGUGAAAUGCGCAGAUAUGCGGAGGAAGGCCGGAGGCGAAGGCGGCACCCUGGCGCAUGACUGACGCUGAGGCGCGAAAGCGUGGGUAGCGAACGGGAUUAGAAACCCCGGUAGUCCAUGCUGUAAACGAUGUGCACUGGACGUUCGGGCUGCCAAGGGCAGUCUGGGUGUUUAAGCGAACGCGGAAGUGCACCGCCUGGGGAGUACGGUCGCAAGGCUAAAACUCAAAGGAAUUGACGGGGGCCCGCACAAGCAGCGGAGCGUGUGGUUUAAUUCGAGGCUACGCGAAGAACCUUACCCGGGUGACAUCGCGGUGUUAGCGUCCUGAAAGGGGCGUGACCUACGGGAGCCGUGACAGGUGCUGCAUGGCUGUCGUCAGCUCGUGCCGUGAGGUGUUCGGUUAAGUCCGAAAACGAGCGCAACCCUCGGUGCCAGUUACAAGUGUCUGGCGCGACUGCCCCCGACAAGGGGGAGGAAGGUGGGGAUGACGUCAAGUCAGCAUGGCCUUGAUACCCGGGGCUACACACACGCUACAAUGGGCGGCACAACGGGAGGCGAAGGCGCGAGUCGGAGCGGAUCC